Molecule: unclassified non-coding RNA, 224 nt
Filed under: Lactarius flavigalactus
Lineage: Eukaryota; Fungi; Basidiomycota; Agaricomycetes; Russulales; Russulaceae
Description: internal transribed spacer 1
Source: RNAcentral
UCGUAACAAAAUGCGAGAAGGCAUGCAAGGGCUGUCGCUGACUCAAAAGUCGUGCACGCCGGAGUGUGUUCUCUCGCAUAAUCAAUCCAUCUCACCCCUUUGUGCAUCACCGCGUGGGCACCCUUUCGGGAUUGUCUCGGAGGGGGCUCGCGUUUUCACACAAACCCCCCCCCCUUUUAAAAGUGUAGAAUGACCUCAUUUAUGCGCUAACCCGCAAUCAAUAC